RNAcentral lists this ribosomal RNA (253 nucleotides) under uncultured bacterium. RNAcentral describes it as "partial 16S ribosomal RNA". It matches the Rfam family "Bacterial small subunit ribosomal RNA", at positions 524 to 776 of the family's 1533-position model. The record is from RNAcentral.
UACUUGGGGUGCAAACGUUGCUCGGAAUUAUUGGGCGUAAAGCGCACGUAGGCGGUUUGUUAAGUCGGAUGUGAAAUCCCUCGGCUCAACUGAGGAAGUGCAUCCGAAACUGGCAAGCUUGAGUACGAAAGAGGGUCGCGGAAUUCCCGGUGUAGAGGUGAAAUUCGUAGAUAUCGGGAGGAACACCGGUGGCGAAGGCGGCGACCUGGGUCGAUACUGACGCUGAGGUGCGAAAGCGUGGGGAGCAAACAGG